GUGCUCACUUAGACAGCACAUAUACUAAAAUUGGAAUGACACAGAGAAGAUUAGCAUGGCUCCUGUGCAAGAAUAACACAAAUUCAGGAAGCACUCCUUAUUUUA
RNAcentral lists this small nuclear RNA (105 nucleotides) under Nannospalax galili (Upper Galilee mountains blind mole rat). The record is from RNAcentral. Lineage: Eukaryota; Metazoa; Chordata; Mammalia; Rodentia; Spalacidae.